RNAcentral lists this long non-coding RNA (399 nucleotides) under Durio zibethinus. RNAcentral describes it as "long non-coding RNA (DZIB_LNC001889)". Lineage: Eukaryota; Viridiplantae; Streptophyta; Magnoliopsida; Malvales; Malvaceae. The record is from RNAcentral.
UUAAUUUCGUGAUUGAUUAAGUUUCUCUAGAGAUUUUGUUGUAUUAUGAUUAACAUUGCUUAAUUUUAAACAAAUAGACAUUCUAGUUCAUGAUGAUGAGCUUCAUAAAAUUGUGGCAUUUAUAUAUUGGUUUAAUUAUUAGGGAAUGCAUAUUGUUUUAUUCUAAUCAUAUGCUUAAAUAUUGUUAUAUAUCUUUAAUUUAUGAAUUUCAUUUUAUAAUGUCUAAAUUAUUACCUAAUUGGAUAUGACAACAUAUCUCAUGUGUUUUUUAUACUAGGAUGAGAUUAAUGUUCCCUUAAAAACCACCAAUAACCAGAUGAAUUUAUGGCAUCCAAUGUACCAUCGAUUUCAAAGAGUUGGGAUCAAAAUUUUUUCUCUAGUAUAUAAGAUGUAAAUCUG